UUUCUGUGAUGAGUCAAAGCACCUCACCAUGGCUGCCGAUGAAAACGUAUGAACACCUGAGAAAC
Molecule: small nucleolar RNA, 65 nt
Organism: Peromyscus maniculatus bairdii (prairie deer mouse)
Lineage: Eukaryota; Metazoa; Chordata; Mammalia; Rodentia; Cricetidae
Source: Ensembl